Long non-coding RNA from Pseudoliparis swirei, 665 nucleotides. RefSeq lists it as uncharacterized. Lineage: Eukaryota; Metazoa; Chordata; Actinopteri; Perciformes; Liparidae. The record is from RefSeq and is a predicted model, not a curated record. The transcript is spliced from 3 exons.
CGGAGUGACUGACCGUUCUUUACUUUUCCCUCCCGCAGUAAAAAACCCUUUGGACGAUAUUCCAGAUGGCUUCCACAAGGAUUUCAUCAAUGGGUAUAUGAAGAACUGGCCUUACCCACCCCAGACCCACUUCAGGGUUGGACAGACAAUUAAUGUGGAACUUGAAGGAGUCCCGCAGAGUUGUGUGGUGCGGCUCAUGGACUGCAGCCUGAUACAGGUUGUUGUGUCGACGGAUGAAAAUAAGGAGUGGAUCUAUCGAGGGUCCCCAUGCUUGGAACAGAUGAAUACUAUGAAGGAUCCUGUGGAGUUGAAAAACGAUAAGGGGCAGAAGAAUACAUCUCCAAGUUGAUGAGUCAUCCAAGUCGGCACACUGGGAUGGGAUGAGAAGUGGAUGCUGCGUUCCAAGAUGGUGUCUCAUCGAUUCACAGUUGCUCACCAAGAAUACACUAAAAAUGAUUUUUAGGUCUUUUAGGGCCAGAGGGAAUCCACACAUCAGUUGUCUUCUGGCCAAGCUUGGUUGAGAGCAUUUUAGCGUUAUAUCAGCCAUAAUCAGUCAUAUACAGUGUAAAUACAGUGUAUAUGGCUGAGUGUGCAUUGUUCUUUUAAACAUGAAUGUUUUUAUUGUUGUUUGUUUUCUGAAAUAAAAAUGAGUUGUCGAAUUUUCA